GUAUAAUUGUCACGUUUUGGUGCCCGCACGCAUGUCCAUGUGUGCAGUUAAACGGGAAACACGAAGCCUUCCAGCUAACGUGUGCUGCCCCCGCAACGGUAAGCAAGUGUCGUCCUGACCGACGACGAGCCGCCUCGAAAAACCACUGUGCCAAUCAGGCAUGGGAAGGUGAGACGGCCGCACUUGCCAGCCCGGAUACCGGCCAAGACAGGUGGAAGUGU
This 221-nucleotide non-coding RNA is filed under the name Massilia sp. CF038. RNAcentral also lists the same sequence under 1 other name. Lineage: Bacteria; Pseudomonadati; Pseudomonadota; Betaproteobacteria; Burkholderiales; Oxalobacteraceae. The record is from RNAcentral.